CAGUAGCCGCGGGAAUACGAAGGGGGCUAGCGUUGCUCGGAAUGACUGGGCGUAAAGGGCGCGUAGGCGGUUCGUACAGUCGGAUGUGAAAUUCCUGGGCUUAACCUGGGGGCUGCAUUCGAUACGUGCGGGCUUGAGUGUGGAAGAGGGUUGUGGAAUUCCCAGUGUAGAGGUGAAAUUCGUAGAUAUUGGGAAGAACACCGGUGGCGAAGGCGGCAACCUGGUCCAUGACCGACGCUGAGGCGCUAAAGCGUGGGGAGCAAACAGGAUUAGAUACCCCUGUAGUCCCUGUCUCUUAUAC
RNAcentral lists this ribosomal RNA (301 nucleotides) under uncultured bacterium. RNAcentral describes it as "partial 16S ribosomal RNA". It matches the Rfam family "Bacterial small subunit ribosomal RNA", at positions 509 to 807 of the family's 1533-position model. The record is from RNAcentral.